This 492-nucleotide ribosomal RNA is filed under the name uncultured bacterium. RNAcentral describes it as "partial 16S ribosomal RNA". It matches the Rfam family "Bacterial small subunit ribosomal RNA", at positions 29 to 507 of the family's 1533-position model. The record is from RNAcentral.
AGUGAACGCUGGCGGUAGGCCUAACACAUGCAAGUCGAACGGCAGCACAGUAAGAGCUUGCUCUUACGGGUGGCGAGUGGCGGACGGGUGAGGAAUACAUCGGAAUCUACUUUUUCGUGGGGGAUAACGUAGGGAAACUUACGCUAAUACCGCAUACGACCUACGGGUGGAAGCAGGGGAUCUUCGGACCUUGCGCGAGUGAAUGAGCCGAUGUCGGAUUAGCUAGUUGGCGGGGUAAAGGCCCACCAAGGCGACGAUCCGUAGCUGGUCUGAGAGGAUGAUCAGCCACACUGGAACUGAGACACGGUCCAGACUCCUACGGGAGGCAGCAGUGGGGAAUAUUGGACAAUGGGCGCAAGCCUGAUCCAGCCAUACCGCGUGGGUGAAGAAGGCCUUCGGGUUGUAAAGCCCUUUUGUUGGGAAAGAAAAGCAGCAGGUUAAUACCCCGCUGUUCUGACGGUACCCAAAGAAUAAGCACCGGCUAACUUCGUG